This is a transfer RNA of Folsomia candida, 73 nucleotides long. It matches the Rfam family "tRNA". From Rfam's summary of the family: Transfer RNA (tRNA) molecules are approximately 80 nucleotides in length. NCBI's taxonomy places the organism in Eukaryota, Metazoa, Arthropoda, Collembola, Entomobryomorpha, Isotomidae. The record is from Rfam.
GAGCCCGUAGCUCAGAUGGUAGAGCGCUCGCUUAGCAUAUGAGAGGUACAGAGAUCGAUACUCUGCCGGUCCA